This 484-nucleotide ribosomal RNA is filed under the name uncultured bacterium. Its description in RNAcentral is "partial 16S ribosomal RNA". It matches the Rfam family "Bacterial small subunit ribosomal RNA", at positions 29 to 507 of the family's 1533-position model. The record is from RNAcentral.
AUUGAACGCUGGCGGCAUGCUUUACACAUGCAAGUCGAACGGCAGCGCGGGCUUCGGCCUGGCGGCGAGUGGCGAACGGGUGGGUAAUACAUCGGAACGUGCCCAGUAGUGGGGGAUAGAUCGGCGGAAGCCGGAUUAAUACCGCAUACGACCUGAGGGUGAAAGCGGGGGAUCUUCUGACCUCGCGCUAUUGGAGCGGCCGAUGGCAGAUUAGCUAGUUGGUGGGGUAAAGGCCUACCAAGGCGACGAUCUGUAGCUGGUCUGAGAGGACGACCAGCCACACUGGAACUGAGACACGGCCCAGACCCCUACGGGAGGCAGCAGUGGGGAAUUUUGGACAAUGGGCGAAAGCCUGAUCCAGCAAUGCCGCGUGUGUGAUGAAGGCCUUCGGGUUGUAAAGCACUUUUGGCGGGAACGAAAAGGACUGUGCCAAUACCACGGCUCGAUGACGGUACCUGAAGAAUAAGCACCGGCUAACUACGUG